RNAcentral lists this ribosomal RNA (517 nucleotides) under uncultured Acaulospora. Its description in RNAcentral is "SSU rRNA". It matches the Rfam family "Eukaryotic small subunit ribosomal RNA", at positions 569 to 1085 of the family's 1831-position model. The record is from RNAcentral. Lineage: Eukaryota; Fungi; Glomeromycota; Glomeromycetes; Diversisporales; Acaulosporaceae.
AGCAGCCGCGGUAAUUCCAGCUCCAAUAGCGUAUAUUAAAGUUGUUGCAGUUAAAAAGCUCGUAGUUGAAUUUCGGAAUCUGUCCGUUGGUCGGGCUUAAUUGUCCGUACUGAUGUGAUGGGUUCUUACCUUCUGAAUAACCAGCAUGCCAUUAAUUUGGUGUGUUGGGGAAGCAGGACUAUUACCUUGAAAAAAUUAGAGUGCUCAAAGCAGGCUAGCGCCUGAAUACAUUAGCAUGGAAUAAUAAAAUAGGACGGCAUGGUUCUAUUUUGUUGGUUUCUAGGAUCACCGUAAUGAUUAAUAGGGAUAGUUGGGGGCAUUAGUAUUCAAUUGUCAGAGGUGAAAUUCUUGGAUUUAUUGAAGACUAACUUCUGCGAAAGCAUUUGCCAAGGAUGUUUUCAUUAAUCAAGAACGAAAGUUAGGGGAUCGAAGACGAUCAGAUACCGUCGUAGUCUUAACCAUAAACUAUGCCGACUAGGGAUCGGACGAUGUUAAUUUUAUAAUGACUCGUUCGGCG